GAGUUUGAUCCUGGCUCAGAACGAACGCUGGCGGCAUGGAUUAGGCAUGCAAGUCGAACGAAGUAGCAAUACUUAGUGGCGCAAGGGUGAGGAACACGUGAGUGACCUGCCCGCAAGUUUGGAACAGCUCCUGGAAACGGGAAUUAAUACCGGAUGUGAUCAACGGGCUGCAUGGUUUGUUGAUUAAAGCAGUAAUGCGCUUGCGGAUGGGCUCGCGUCCCAUUAGCUAGUUGGUGAGGUAACGGCCCACCAAGGCCAUGAUGGGUAGCUGGUCUGAGAGGACGACCAGCCACACUGGGACUGAGAACUGCCCAGACUCCUACGGGAGGCUGCAGUCGAGAAUUUUGGGCAAUGGACGAAAGUCUGACCCAGCAAUGCCGCGUGCGGGAUGAAGGUCUUCGGAUUGUAAACCGCUGUUUGGAGGGACGAAAAUUGACGGUACUUCCAGAGAAAGCCACGGCUAACUACGUGCCAGCAGCCGCGGUAAUACGUAGGUGGCGAGCGUUGUUCGGAUUUAUCGGGCGUAAAGGGUCCGCAGGGGGUUGAUUAAGUUUGACGCGAAAUCCCGGAGCUUAACUCCGGAACUGCGUUGAAGACCGGUUGACUAGAGUGUUGGAGAGGUAAUUGGAAUUCCAGGUGUAGCGGUGGAAUGCGUAGAUAUCUGGAAGAACAUCGAGAGCGAAGGCAGAUUACUGGACAACAACUGACCCUCAGGGACGAAAGCAUGGGGAGCAAACAGGAUUAGAUACCCUGGUAGUCCAUGCCCUAAACGGUGUAAACUUGAUGUGAGCGGAAUUACUCCCGUUCGUGUCGAAGCUAACGCGAUAAGUUUACCGCCUGGGAACUACGGCCGCAAGGCUAAAACUCAAAGGAAUUGACGGGGGCCCGCACAAGCGGUGGAGCAUGUGGCUUAAUUCGAGGCAACGCGAAGAACCUUACCUGGGUUUGACAUUUACCCCAACGAUAGUAGAAAUACUAUUACCCGCAAGGGGUGGUAAACAGGUGCUGCAUGGCUGUCGUCAGCUCGUGCCAUGAGGUGUUCGGUUAAGUCCGGCAACGAGCGCAACCCGCGUCAUUAGUUACCAUCAGGUAAAGCUGGGGACUCUAAUGAGACUGCC
RNAcentral lists this ribosomal RNA (1118 nucleotides) under uncultured rumen bacterium. Its description in RNAcentral is "bacterial SSU rRNA". It matches the Rfam family "Bacterial small subunit ribosomal RNA", at positions 9 to 1153 of the family's 1533-position model. The record is from RNAcentral.